This 254-nucleotide ribosomal RNA is filed under the name uncultured bacterium. RNAcentral describes it as "partial 16S ribosomal RNA". It matches the Rfam family "Bacterial small subunit ribosomal RNA", at positions 524 to 776 of the family's 1533-position model. The record is from RNAcentral.
UACGUAGGGUGCAAGCGUUAAUCGGAAUUACUGGGCGUAAAGGGCGCGUAGGCGGCCUGCUAAGUCGGACGUGAAAUCCCUCGGCUCAACCGGGGAACUGCGUCCGAUACUGGCGAGGCUUGAAUCCGGGAGAGGGAUGUGGAAUUCCUGGUGUAGCGGUGAAAUGCGCAGAUAUCAGGAGGAACACCGGUGGCGAAGGCGGGUCUCUGGGCCGAUAUCGACGCUGAGGAGCGAAAGCGUGGGGAGCGAACAGG